RNAcentral lists this ribosomal RNA (393 nucleotides) under uncultured bacterium. RNAcentral's name for it is "partial 16S ribosomal RNA". It matches the Rfam family "Bacterial small subunit ribosomal RNA", at positions 523 to 918 of the family's 1533-position model. The record is from RNAcentral.
AUACGGAGGACGCGAGCGUUAUCCGGAUUCAUUGGGUUUAAAGGGUGCGCAGGCGGCCGUGCAAGUCAGCGGUGAAAGCCCGGGGCUCAACCCCGGAAGUGCCGUUGAUACUGCAUGGCUGGAAAGCGGUCGAGGCGGGCGGAACGUGGCGGGUAGCGGGGAAAUGCGUAGAUAUGCCACAGAACGCCGAUAGCGGAGGCAGCUCGCCAGGCCUGCAUUGACGCUCGGGCACGAAAGCGGGGGGAUCGAACAGGAUUAGAUACCCUGGUAGUCCACGCCGUAAACGAUGGGCGCUCGUCGUCGGCGACAGACAGUCGGCGGCCAAGCGAAAGCGAUAAGCGCCCCACCUGGGGAGUACGGUCGCAAGGCUGAAACUCAAAUGAAUUGACGGGG